CAGUAGCCGCGGUAAUACAGAGGGUGCGAGCGUUAAUCGGAUUUACUGGGCGUAAAGCGUGCGUAGGCGGCUUCUUAAGUCGGAUGUGAAAUCCCUGAGCUUAACUUAGGAAUUGCAUUCGAUACUGGGAAGCUAGAGUAUGGGAGAGGAUGGUAGAAUUCCAGGUGUAGCGGUGAAAUGCGUAGAGAUCUGGAGGAAUACCGAUGGCGAAGGCAGCCAUCUGGACUAAUACUGACGCUGAGGUACGAAAGCAUGGGGAGCAAACAGGAUUAGAUACCCGAGUAGUCCCUGUCUCUUAUAC
This 301-nucleotide ribosomal RNA is filed under the name uncultured bacterium. RNAcentral describes it as "partial 16S ribosomal RNA". It matches the Rfam family "Bacterial small subunit ribosomal RNA", at positions 509 to 807 of the family's 1533-position model. The record is from RNAcentral.